AGGUGAUUGACGGAGUUUUUGGAGUUGGAUCAAUCCAACCAAGUUUAAAAGAAUAUCUACAAAAAAUUGAUCCUUCUGAACCUCCAAAGACAAAGGUAAAUGAUAAUGAAAAUGGAGCCUGGGAUACGUGGCAGUAUUGGUCAGAGGUGGAUAGAAUUGAAAAAGAUUACCUGAAGAGAAAGGAGUCAACAUCACAACCACCUCAUGAAUCAACUCAGUGCCAAAGUCCACAAAAUACACAGUAUUACACUCCUCCAACAGAGGCAGCUGAUGGAAAUGUUGAACAAACUGAAGAGGAUGUACUUCAUGAUUUACGUAAAAGGGCAGAGGAACUUGUGGACAUAAAGUCCAAAUUUGAUGAAGAUUUAGUGAAAGCAAGGGAAAAGUUUCC
This is a long non-coding RNA of Daucus carota subsp. sativus, 391 nucleotides long. RefSeq lists it as uncharacterized. The transcript has 3 exons. The record is from RefSeq and is a predicted model, not a curated record. NCBI's taxonomy places the organism in Eukaryota, Viridiplantae, Streptophyta, Magnoliopsida, Apiales, Apiaceae.